Molecule: non-coding RNA, 73 nt
Organism: Lipotes vexillifer (Yangtze River dolphin)
Lineage: Eukaryota; Metazoa; Chordata; Mammalia; Artiodactyla; Lipotidae
Source: the annotation of a RefSeq genome assembly
UCCCUGGUAGUCCAGUGGUUAGGACCUGGCAUUUUCACUGCCGAGGGCCCGAGUUCAAUUCCUGGUCAGGGAA